This 1135-nucleotide long non-coding RNA is filed under the name Monodelphis domestica (gray short-tailed opossum). Its description in RNAcentral is "lncRNA (ENSMODG00000043788.1)". Lineage: Eukaryota; Metazoa; Chordata; Mammalia; Didelphimorphia; Didelphidae. The record is from RNAcentral.
CUUUAUUAAAUAACUAAACAUAAUCUUAACAACUAUAUCUAGUAGUCUAAGACUGCCUCCUUACUCAAGACUCUAGAUUCAAGCCAAGGAUUAUCUUUUUUAAAAAAUAAAUGUUUUCCAUGGUUACAUGACUCAUGUUCUCUUCCUUCCCUCUACCCUCCCAGAGUCCACCAGAAAUUCCACUGGGUUAUACAUAUAUUAUCACUCACAACCCAUUUCCAUAUUAUUCAUUUUUGUAACAGAGUAAAUCUUUAAAAACCAAAAAAGCCUUGCACAGAGAGGAGCUUUUGGAAUGUUAUGGAGGGAAACUUGACAGACAAGAGUGGCAGUUGGAAGGAAUAGCAAGGAACUCUGGGAUACAACUGAAGGGGGGAAGUUCCUUUCCUGAACCCAGAAGCUGAUUCCCUGCCCCAGGAUUUGAAUCCUUGAAUACCUGAAGAUUUCCCAACCUUUCCCUUGAACCUCGAAGAGCUGGGAUUGUUACCUGUUUCUCCUGGAACCAACUAAUGAGGCUGGCUGAACAUUUUACAGUGGCCUGAGGGUCUGGGUUCUGAAAGCCUGCUGAGGCAGCCUGAAGCACAAUUUACUCUCUGUAACAGUGGAAGAAAGACUUGGCAACCAUUCAUUUAGAUGUUUAAUAUUUACGUCAUCCUGACAUCCAGCCCACUGUUAAGUAGCAACAAGCUCAAAUCAGCAGCAGUCGGAUCUGUGGAUUCAUAUAAAUUCAUCACUCAUAAACUCUUGUUAUUUUCUGGCCUCUCUGACUGUGUUCCACCUACUCCUGAGAAGGUACGUUUGUGGACAGUCACCACCAAGAAAAUAGAACCAAAGGGCUCCAAUCUGAUAGCUCAGAGGAGUAAUUUAAAGGGAGAAGGGAUUAUGUUUUAUGUAUAAUCAAAUGAAACAGCAAUAGUUUAGUAAUGAUCAAAAUGUUAAAACUUAGUUUUAAUUCAAUGUAGCUAGUCUGGAGCUAAGAAGUUCUAUAAUUAGAACAAUUUAAUAGACCCGUUUCUUUUACCUAUGAAUUAAAGGAAUGCUUAUGUUUUUAAAAAAUAGAUUGCUUUACAAGUGCAUCUUUUAAGGCUAUUUACUCUUUUGUGAAUGUUUGCUUAUUAAAAUAUGUAAGAUUCUUGGG